AUGAACGCUAGCGGGAGGCUUAAUACAUGCAAGUCGAGCGGUAGGUGGCUUCGGCCAUUGAGAGCGGCGCACGGGUGAGUAACACGUACAUGACCUACCUGUCAGAAGGGGAUAGCCCUGGGAAACUGGGAUUAAUACCCUAUGGUAUUACGAAUGUAAAGGUUUGUAAUUAAAGCUGAGGUGCUGACAGAUGGAUGUGCGUCUGAUUAGCUAGUUGGUGGGGUAAAGGCCUACCAAGGCGACGAUCAGUAGGGGGCGUGAGAGCGUGAACCCCCACACGGGUACUGAGACACGGACCCGACUCCUACGGGAUGCAGCAGUAAGGAAUAUUGGUCAAUGCCCGACAGGGUGAACCAGCCAUUCCGCGUGGAGGAUGAAGGCCCUCUGGGUUGUAAACUUCUUUUAGAUGGGAAUAAAAUGCCCCGUGCGCGGGGUACUGACGGUACCAUCAGAAUAAGCACCGGCUAACUCCGU
Molecule: ribosomal RNA, 474 nt
Filed under: uncultured bacterium
Lineage: Bacteria
Description: bacterial SSU rRNA
Rfam family: Bacterial small subunit ribosomal RNA
Source: RNAcentral